Long non-coding RNA from Corylus avellana, 208 nucleotides. RefSeq lists it as uncharacterized. NCBI's taxonomy places the organism in Eukaryota, Viridiplantae, Streptophyta, Magnoliopsida, Fagales, Betulaceae. The record is from RefSeq and is a predicted model, not a curated record.
UCAGCGGAAAGUGAAUGUACUUACUAGAGAGUACUGUGAUGACAUCAAGAGGAAGAGCAAGCCCAUUAUUUUGUCACACCAUAUGUUACCUGGUUUACAGCAAGGGCAGGAGAAGAUGUCAAAAAGUGAUCCAUCGUCCUCCAUUUUUAUGGAAGAUGAUGAGGCGGAAGUGAAUUUGAAGGUAAAGAAAGCUUACUGUCCUCCAAAG